Molecule: ribosomal RNA, 403 nt
Filed under: uncultured bacterium
Lineage: Bacteria
Description: partial 16S ribosomal RNA
Rfam family: Bacterial small subunit ribosomal RNA
Source: RNAcentral
AUUGAACGCUGGCGGCAGGCCUAACACAUGCAAGUCGAGCGAGCGGCGGACGGGUGAGUAAUGUAUGGUGACUGUCCGAUAGAGGGGGAUAACAACUGGAAACGGCAGCUAAUAACGCAUACUAUCGGAUAACCCUUAGGGGAGUAGCGAGUAGGUGAGGUAAUGGCUCACAUAGGCGACGAUCCCUAGCUGGUCUGAGAGGAUGAUCAGCCACACUGGGACUGAGACACGGCCCAGAAUCCUACGGAGGCAGCAGUGGGGAAUAUUGCACAAUGGGCGAAAGCCUGAUGCAGCCAUGCCGCGUGUAGGAAGAAGGCCCUAGGGUUGUAAAGUACUUUCAGUAGGGAGGCGUUACCUACAGAAGAAGCACCGGCUAACUCCGUGCCAGCAGCCGCGGUAAUAC